CCUACGGGUGGCAGCAGUGGGGAAUAUUGCACAAUGGGCGAAACCCUGAUGCAGCGACGCCGCGUGAGUGAAGAAGUAUUUCGGUAUGUAAAGCUCUGUCAGCAGGGAAGAAAAUGACGGUACCUGACCAUGAAGCCCCGGCCAACUACGUGCCAGCAGCCGCGGUAAUACGUAGGGGGCAAGCGUUAUCCGGAUUUACUGGGUGUAAAGGGAGCGUAGACGGCAGGGCAAGUCUGGAGUGAAAGGCGGGGGCUCAACCGACGGACGGCACUGGAAACUGCCAGGCUGGAGUGCAGGAGAGGUAAGUGGAAUUCCUUGUGUAGCGGUGAAAUGCGUAGAGAUAAGGAGGAACACCAGUGGCGAAGGCGGCUUUCUGGACUGUAACUGACGUUGAGGCGCGAAAGCGUGGGGAGCAAACAGGAUUAGAUACCCCUGUAGUC
This 440-nucleotide ribosomal RNA is filed under the name uncultured bacterium. RNAcentral describes it as "partial 16S ribosomal RNA". It matches the Rfam family "Bacterial small subunit ribosomal RNA", at positions 338 to 795 of the family's 1533-position model. The record is from RNAcentral.